RNAcentral lists this ribosomal RNA (152 nucleotides) under Rhizoctonia solani. Its description in RNAcentral is "5.8S ribosomal RNA". It matches the Rfam family "5.8S ribosomal RNA". From Rfam's summary of the family: 5.8S ribosomal RNA (5.8S rRNA) is a component of the large subunit of the eukaryotic ribosome. It is transcribed by RNA polymerase I as part of the 45S precursor that also contains 18S and 28S rRNA. Functionally, it is thought that 5.8S rRNA may be involved in ribosome translocation. The record is from RNAcentral. Lineage: Eukaryota; Fungi; Basidiomycota; Agaricomycetes; Cantharellales; Ceratobasidiaceae.
AGUUUCAACAACGGAUCUCUUGGCUCUCGCAUCGAUGAAGGACGCAGCGAAAUGCGAUAAGUAAUGUGAAUUGCAGAAUUCAGUGAAUCAUCGAAUCUUUGAACGCACCUUGCGCUCCUUGGUAUUCCUUGGAGCAUGCCUGUUUGAGUAUU